UGCAGACUUCUUCCUGUACCACUGCUUGAAGAAGGUGUCUUCCAGGAACUGGCAGUAGGACUGGGAGUUGAGCUUGACUCCAUCCUCAACCCGAAAAGGCCCCACAAGCUCAUCUUUGAUGAUAGCAGCCCAAACCAGUACUCCACCUCCACCUUGCUGGCGUCUGAGUCGGACUGGAGCUCUCUGCCCUUUACCAAUCCAGCCACGGGCCCAUCCAUCUGGCCCAUCAAGACUCAC
Molecule: non-coding RNA, 237 nt
Organism: Pelobates cultripes (western spadefoot toad)
Lineage: Eukaryota; Metazoa; Chordata; Amphibia; Anura; Pelobatidae
Source: the annotation of a GenBank genome assembly